GUGGUGGGGAAUCGCAAGCUAGGCGUGCCGUUUGGGCACGCCUAGCGUAAAGGAAAGUCAGGUCUCCGGGGUUGGGGUUCGGCUAACGCCGAACGCAGCAAUGUUUGCGCACAUGAAGGCACAGCACAGCCCGGCUGAAGCCAGGCAUGGUGGGAGCGCAAAGCGCGCUGCAGAAAAGCCUGCAGCAAUGGUGCCCCUUUGGAGUAACCCUUAUACAAGCAGCGCGCCGGAGGCACGGUGCGCGCAUUCUGUGCUAAUCUGCAGGUAAGGGGCUUAGAGUGAUGAUUCAGACACUGAAUCCGGCUUAUCACCACCACAUAA
RNAcentral lists this unclassified non-coding RNA (321 nucleotides) under Candidatus Tremblayella princeps. RNAcentral's name for it is "Candidatus Tremblaya princeps RNaseP_bact_a". The record is from RNAcentral. Lineage: Bacteria; Pseudomonadati; Pseudomonadota; Betaproteobacteria.